This 557-nucleotide ribosomal RNA is filed under the name uncultured Afipia sp. RNAcentral's name for it is "bacterial SSU rRNA". It matches the Rfam family "Bacterial small subunit ribosomal RNA", at positions 102 to 694 of the family's 1533-position model. The record is from RNAcentral. Lineage: Bacteria; Pseudomonadati; Pseudomonadota; Alphaproteobacteria; Hyphomicrobiales; Nitrobacteraceae.
ACGGGUGAGUAACGCGUGGGAACAUACCUUUUGGUUCGGAACAACACAGGGAAACUUGUGCUAAUACCGAAUAAGCCCUUACGGGGAAAGAUUUAUCGCCGAAAGAUUGGCCCGCGUCUGAUUAGCUUGUUGGUGAGGCAACGGCUCACCAAGGCGACGAUCAGUAGUUGGUCUGAGAGGAUGAUCAGCCACAUUGGGACUGAGACACGGCCCAAACUCCUACGGGAGGCAGCAGUGGGGAAUAUUGGACAAUGGGCGCAAGCCUGAUCCAGCCAUGCCGCGUGAGUGAUGAAGGCCCUAGGGUUGUAAAGCUCUUUUGUGCGGGAAGAUAAUGACGGUACCGCAAGAAUAAGCCCCGGCUAACUUCGCGCCAGCAGCCGCGGUAAUACGAAGGGGGCUAGCGUUGCUCGGAAUCACUGGGCGUAAAGGGUGCGUAGGCGGGUCUUUAAGUCAGAGGUGAAAGCCUGGAGCUCAACUCCAGAACUGCCUUUGAUACUGAGGAUCUCGAGUUCGGGAGAGGUGAGUGGAACUGCGAGUGUAGAGGUGAAAUUCGUAGA